This 728-nucleotide ribosomal RNA is filed under the name uncultured Bacteroidota bacterium. RNAcentral's name for it is "bacterial SSU rRNA". It matches the Rfam family "Bacterial small subunit ribosomal RNA", at positions 161 to 891 of the family's 1533-position model. Lineage: Bacteria; Pseudomonadati; Bacteroidota. The record is from RNAcentral.
GAUUAAUACCUGAUAGUAUGGUGAGAUUGCAUGAUAACACCAUUAAAGAUUUAUUGGUAAACGAUGGGGAUGCGUUCCAUUAGGUAGUAGGCGGGGUAACGGCCCACCUAGCCUGCGAUGGAUAGGGGUUCUGAGAGGAAGAUCCCCCACAUUGGAACUGAGACACGGUCCAAACUCCUACGGGAGGCAGCAGUGAGGAAUAUUGGUCAAUGGGCGAGAGCCUGAACCAGCCAAGUAGCGUGAAGGACGAAGGUCCUACGGAUUGUAAACUUCUUUUAUACGGGAAUAAAGUUUCCUACGUGUAGGAUUUUGUAUGUACCGUAUGAAUAAGCAUCGGCUAACUCCGUGCCAGCAGACGCGGUAAUACGGAGGAUGCGAGCGUUAUCCGGAUUUAUUGGGUUUAAAGGGAGCGCAGACGGGAGAUUAAGUCAGUUGUGAAAGUUUGCGGCUCAACCGUAAAAUUGCAGUUGAUACUGGUUUCCUUGAGUGCAGUUGAGGCAGGCGGAAUUCGUGGUGUAGCGGUGAAAUGCUUAGAUAUCACGAAGAACCCCGAUUGCGAAGGCAGCUUGCUAAACUGUAACUGACGUUCAUGCUCGAAAGUGUGGGUAUCAAACAGGAUUAGAUACCCUGGUAGUCCACACGGUAAACGAUGGAUACUCGCUGUUGGCGAUAUACUGUCAGCGGCCAAGCGAAAGCAUUAAGUAUCCCACCUGGGGAGUCCCCCGAAA